AAUUUAUCAAGAGUGGACGAGAGAUUGGCUUUAUGACUCCACAGCAACCUACUUAUGUAAGGUGCUAAUACCAACAAAGCUUAAGCUUUGGAUGAUAAAGA
This 101-nucleotide non-coding RNA is filed under the name Clostridium carboxidivorans. RNAcentral describes it as "SAM-I sequence". It matches the Rfam family "SAM riboswitch aptamer (S box leader)". From Rfam's summary of the family: The SAM riboswitch is found upstream of a number of genes which code for proteins involved in methionine or cysteine biosynthesis in Gram-positive bacteria. The SAM riboswitch acts at the level of transcription termination control. The predicted structure consists of a complex stem-loop region followed by a single stem loop terminator region. RNAcentral also lists the same sequence under 1 other name. The record is from RNAcentral. Lineage: Bacteria; Bacillati; Bacillota; Clostridia; Eubacteriales; Clostridiaceae.